CCCAAUCAUCUGCCCCACCUUCGGCGGCUGGCUCCAUAAAGGUUACCUCACCGACUUCGGGUGUUGCAAACUCUCGUGGUGUGACGGGCGGUGUGUACAAGGCCCGGGAACGUAUUCACCGCGGCAUGCUGAUCCGCGAUUACUAGCGAUUCCAGCUUCACGCAGUCGAGUUGCAGACUGCGAUCCGAACUGAGAACAGAUUUGUGGGAUUGGCUAAACCUUGCGGUCUCGCAGCCCUUUGUUCUGUCCAUUGUAGCACGUGUGUAGCCCAGGUCAUAAGGGGCAUGAUGAUUUGACGUCAUCCCCACCUUCCUCCGGUUUGUCACCGGCAGUCACCUUAGAGUGCCCAACUAAAUGCUGGCAACUAAGAUCAAGGGUUGCGCUCGUUGCGGGACUUAACCCAACAUCUCACGACACGAGCUGACGACAACCAUGCACCACCUGUCACUCUGUCCCCGAAGGGAAAGCCCUAUCUCUAGGGUUGUCAGAGGAUGUCAGGGGAGACUGGAAUUCCUGGUGUAGCGGUGGAAUGCGCAGAUAUCAGGAGGAACACCGGUGGCGAAGGCGGGUCUCUGGGCAGUAACUAGACCUGGUAAGGAUCUUCGCGUUGCUUCNAAUUAAACCACAUGUUCCACCGCUUGUGUGGNCCCCCGUCAUUCCU
This 661-nucleotide ribosomal RNA is filed under the name uncultured Bacillus sp. RNAcentral's name for it is "partial 16S ribosomal RNA". The stretch from base 487 to 585 matches the Rfam family "Bacterial small subunit ribosomal RNA", at positions 643 to 741 of the family's 1533-position model. Lineage: Bacteria; Bacillati; Bacillota; Bacilli; Caryophanales; Bacillaceae. The record is from RNAcentral.